GGCAGACGCCAUGGUUCGCUGGCCUUGACCCUAUGGCGAAGCUGUGGAUGGACCCGCCAGGGCGAGCUGAUGCGGGACAGCUGCGCGUGCGCGUCCGAACAGCAGGGACAGACGCGCGCGGCCUCGGCAGCAGCGUGAGAGAACGACGGGGUCCCAGAGUGAAAAGGACGGAUUGACCGCCUAGUCAUCACCGCACCAAAUGUUGCUGAACCUCUGUCGGAGUUUAUCUUCUACAGGGCAGUGGCAGCGUGCGCCUAUUGUUGUGAAGAUCAGAGCAGCUGGCGCGUGCGGGUGUGAGUCAGCGUGACCGGAACUAGAAGGGGUUCCCUCUGUGUGAUGGUUUUGGAAGAAGAGCUGUGUGAGCCUCAUUUGACUCUAGUCAAUGCGGAUGUUGGCUGGGACCUCAAACUGAGGAAGUGAAACAACGGAAGCUGAAGGCCUAUAAUUUGGGAGGAAGGAAGUUCAAAGCCAAAGUAUGGGAAGGUCCUGCCUGUGUUGAGGGCCAAGGAGGGGACUCAGGACUUUGCAUCUACUGGCAAGCAAUUCUCUCACCCUGCUUAAAUUCCCAGGCAGCUCUUUCAAUGGGAGAGAAACGGAUUUGAGGAUCAUGAACUGGCCCUGGUGUGGUAAUAUUGUUUAUAUGGUGGAUCACAUUGAAUCAGCCCUGAAUGCAUGGAGUGAAACCUACUUGGUCAUGGAUGAUCUCUCCUAUGUGUU
This is a long non-coding RNA of Meriones unguiculatus (Mongolian gerbil), 717 nucleotides long. RefSeq lists it as uncharacterized. Lineage: Eukaryota; Metazoa; Chordata; Mammalia; Rodentia; Muridae. The transcript has 5 exons. The record is from RefSeq and is a predicted model, not a curated record.